Molecule: ribosomal RNA, 398 nt
Filed under: Staphylococcus agnetis
Lineage: Bacteria; Bacillati; Bacillota; Bacilli; Caryophanales; Staphylococcaceae
Description: bacterial LSU rRNA
Rfam family: Bacterial large subunit ribosomal RNA
Source: RNAcentral
GUCUGCAUGGAGCCGGCCUUGAAAUACCACCCUUUAAUGUUUGAUGUUCUAACGUUGGCCCCUGAUCGGGGUUGCGGACAGUGUCUGGUGGGUAGUUUGACUGGGGCGGUCUCCUCCUAAAGAGUAACGGAGGAGCACGAAGGUUGGCUAAUCCUGGUCGGACAUCAGGAGGUUAGUGCAAUGGCAUAAGCCAGCUUGACUGCGAGCGUGACGGCGCGAGCAGGUGCGAAAGCAGGUCAUAGUGAUCCGGUGGUUCUGAAUGGAAGGGCCAUCGCUCAACGGAUAAAAGGUACUCCGGGGAUAACAGGCUGAUACCGCCCAAGAGUUCAUAUCGACGGCGGUGUUUGGCACCUCGAUGUCGGCUCAUCACAUCCUGGGGCUGAAGUAGGUCCCAAGGG